AUGUCAAGCCCGAAACAUUAGACGAAGAGCGUCUAAGGGCUGUGGUUCAACAUUUGGUGAAGUCGAAGGCGGUGUCCGCCGCGCAAAGUUAUUGUUGCCAAUGUGCUGAAGAAAAUAAGAAAGGAGAUACUAAAUCAAAUUAUGUCCCAGUCAUAAUGAUGCCUAUCUAUCCAGCCGACGAUUGUCCGUUUGAUAUGGAAUGUGAAGUUAAAAAAAUUAAGGAAGCCGAAGAUAAACCGACAAAAAAAUUGUAAAAGAGACCCAAGCCAAAGGUUCUGAAAAGGAGAAAAGACAAGAAAAAGCUGAAAAAACGAGGCUUUGUCAUGCAAAGACUUACUGAUUUCGAUUUAUUGUCACAAUGGUAGAUUACAGUCGCUUCAAAUAAAGCUCUGACGUACAAGCCUUAUUUGAUGAUAUGAGUGAUAGUGAAUGUUAUGUACAAAGUCAUAAACGAUUGUCAAGUUAAAACUGUUUUUAUAUUUGGUAACAUUGAAUAUUAGAGAUAAAUAUAAGGAUCACUUUGGUA
Molecule: long non-coding RNA, 526 nt
Organism: Manduca sexta (tobacco hornworm)
Lineage: Eukaryota; Metazoa; Arthropoda; Insecta; Lepidoptera; Sphingidae
Exons: 2
Source: RefSeq, a predicted model, not a curated record